This 73-nucleotide transfer RNA is filed under the name Arenibacter certesii. Its description in RNAcentral is "tRNA-Thr". It matches the Rfam family "tRNA". Rfam says of the family: Transfer RNA (tRNA) molecules are approximately 80 nucleotides in length. Lineage: Bacteria; Pseudomonadati; Bacteroidota; Flavobacteriia; Flavobacteriales; Flavobacteriaceae. RNAcentral also lists the same sequence under 3 other names. The record is from RNAcentral.
GCCGGUGUAGCUCAGGGGUAGAGCGUUUCCUUGGUAAGGAAGAGGUCAUGAGUUCAAAUCUCAUCAUUGGCUC